CAAAACAGUAAAAUGGUUUCCGGAUGAUAACUCAAGAAUGCUUACGCCUUGGAUCAUGAAACUUCAUAGGUACAUUGAUCAUGACUGGCAGAUGACCCCUAUUGAUUUUCAGGUCACAAGGUCAAAGGUCAAGGUCACAGUGACUCGAAAAAGUGAAAUGGUUUCCGGAUGAUAACUCAAGAAUACUUACGCCUAGGAUCAUGAAACUUCAUAGGUACAUUGAUCAUGACUGGCAGAUGACCCCUAUUGAUUUUCAGGUCACUAGGUCAAGGUCACAGUGACAAAAAACAUAUUCACACAAUGGCUGUCACUACAACGGAGAGCCCAUAUGGGGGCAUGCAUGUUUUACAAACAGCCCUUGUUAAAUAUUGCAAUUAUGACAUGCUUAUAUUUUAAAAAUGAAAUGAAACCAUCCCUUUCAGUGUGCAUCAUGCAAAUACAGUGAUGGUUUACUUAUUCUGUAUUUUUUUAUAAUUUUCUUUUGCAUUUUUGGAAAUAUUUACAGACUUGUGAAUGUUUUGUUGAUAAUUUAUCAUUUUCAUAAAAUGUUGGCAAUGUAAAGAAGUUUGGCCGAUUACAAUGAAAAUCGAAUGGUUGUUUUCUUGUUGAUAUUCAAAAUACAUUGCAUAAUGAAUACCUGUUAUAUGUGCUACUAAGCACUUUGUUUUACACACAUUUCUGUUUUGUUUUUUGUGUGCACUUUAUGACUAAUGCGUUAUCAAAUUCAUAUGUGUUGGUGCGUUUAAGGUAUAAUAUGUCAUUUUACUCAAUGAUAACUAUGAUGUUGGAUAGAAAAUAAAUCGGGUUGUGUAGCUUUUGAUUUCUGCUUUUCUUAGUUUUAAAAAACUAAAGAUGAAAUCUUCAGUUAUGAACUGAAUACAAAUCCAUAUAAUAUUUUACUGUCCAGUACCAUUGAUAUCUUGUUCUAUUAAAAGCUUAUACUUAAAUGUCCUGUAUUAAAUUAAGAAGGCGUUGAUAAAAUAUCAUUUUAGCUCACCUGAGCUUUUGGGAUCACCUUUUGUCCAUGGUGCGUCGUCCGUCAUCAAAAGUUUGCCUUGUGAACACUCUAGUGGCCACAUUUAUUGUCUGAUCUGCAUUAAACUUGGUCAGAAGAUUUGUCUCAAUGAUAUCUUGGUCGAGUUAGAAACAGGGUCAUGCUGGGUCAAAAAAAAGAGAAAAACCUUGUUAACACUGUAGAAGUCACAUUUGAUGCCCAAUCUUCAUGUAACUUUGUCAAAAUGUUUGUCUUAAUGAUAUGUUGGUUGAGUUCAAAAAUGGUUCUGGUCUGUUUAAAAACAUGGCCACCAGGGGGCGGGGCAGUAUUCCUUAUAUGGCUAUGGAGAAACCUUGUGAACACUCUAGAAGUCACAAUUUUUGUCCAAUCAUCAUUAAACUUGGUCAAAACAUUGGUUUCAUUGAUAUCUCGAAUGAGUUCGAAAAUGGUCCAGAUUGGUGAAAAAACAUUGCUGCCAGGGGGAGGAGCAGUUUUCUCGAUAUGUAUAUAGUGAAAACAUGUGAACACUCUAGAAGUCACAUUUGUGGUACAAUGUUCAUGAAAUUGGUUAGAAUAUUUGUUUCCUGGAUGCGAGGGUUGAGUUCGAAAAUGGUUCGGAUCGGUAAAAAAACAUGGCCUCCAGGCUCCAGGGGGGGGGGGGGGAUAAUUUUCCUUAUAUUAAUAUCGUAAAAAAAAAUACAUGUGAACACUCUAGAAGUCACAUUUUUUGCCUAAUGAUCUUGCAAUAUUGUAUAAACAUUGAUUUUAUAGAUAUCUUAGACGAGUUUUAAAAUGGUCAUGAUCGGUGGAAAACAUGGCCGCCAGGGGGUGGGGCAUUUUUCUCUAUAUGUAUAUAGUGAAAACAUUGUGAACAGUCUAGAAGACACAUAUUUUGCCCAAUCUUCAUGAAAUUUGGUCAUAAUAUUUGUUUUCUGGAUACAAUGGUUUAGUUCGAAAAUGGUUCGAAUCUGGAAAAAAAAACAUGGCCACCAGUGGGGGGGGUCAUUUUCCUUAUAUUUACAUAGUAAAAAAAGCUUGUGAACACUCUAGAAGUCACAUUUUUUGCCUAAUCAUCAUGAAAUUUGGUCAAACAUUGAUUUGAGGAUAACUCGGACUAGUUCGAAAAUGGUCGUGAUGAUCAUUUGAAAAACAUGGCUGCCAGGAGGGUGAGACAGUUUUCUCUAUAUGUAUAUAGUGAAAACAUGUGAACAGUCUAGAGUACACAUUUUUUGCCAAUCUUCAUGAAAUUUGGUCUGAACAUUUGUUUCCUGGAUAUGACGGUUGAGUUUUAAAAAUGGUUCGGAUCGUAAAAAAAUAUGGCCACCAGGGGGGGGGUAACUUUUUCUUAAGAUUUAUAUAGUAAAAAAGCUUGUGAAUACUCUAGAAGUCACAUUUUUUGCCUAAUCAUCAUGAAAUUUGGUCAAAGCAUUGGUUAUGUGGACAUCUCGGAAGAGUUUGAAAAUGGUCAUGAUCAUUUGAAAAACAUGGCUGUCAGGGGUAGGGGCAGUUUUCUCUGUAUGUACAUGUAUAUUGUGACAACAUGUGAACAGUCUAGAAGACACAUUUUUUGCCCAAUCUUCAUGAAAUUUGGUCAUAACAUUUGUUUCCUGGAUAUUUCGUUCGAGUUCGAAAAUGGUUCGAAUCAGUAAAAAAACAUGGCCACCAUGGGGGGGUCUUUUUUUGUUUCAUAGUGUUCCUUUCUGAAGAGAUUAUUAUGAUGAUGAUUGGUUGGGGAUGAAGUACAACAAACAUAUUUAUGCCAUAUGAAAACCCUUUAUUAAAUAUUCUCAAAAGUUUAAGUAGUAAUAUUGAUUUCACAGACAAUUACUUAGGGGAGAAACAACUGUAUAUAACUUGAAUUGUGUUUGACCUUCAAUCAUGAAUGCAUGGCUUUUCAGGAAUGCACUAUUAUUUUUCCAAUGAUCCCAUUUAUUCACCUGCUUAUCAGCAACUAAUUAAUUCUCUAUUGACUGUGUCUGAAUUGUUCUGGUACAGUAGUAUUCAUUGAUGCCUUUUGAAAUGGUAAUGUGAUGUAACAGGCUUGCAGCUUAAAUGCCCUUAGUCCCUAGAAAUAGGCCCCAACUGGGAACUCACAUCAAAGACCUUCUGACUGAUAAUAGUGGCACACAAAUUGUUAUGGCACGCAGUUUAUGGAUGAGUUCGGUAGUUAUUGGUGUGAUUAUCAAAGAUUUGCGUUUUAAAUAGGGUUGAUUGUUGUUUUAAUUGGAAAUAUCAUUGCAAGGUGUGUGAAAAUAGUUCCAGUUUGUUUAAAAGCAAGGCCCUGAGGUGGGAUUUCUUUGUAUUGCUAUAGUGAAACAUUGUGAACUCUCUAUAAGUCUCAUUUUAGUUAAAUCUUAAUGAAACAUGCUGAGAACAUAUUUAUGUUCCUAUAAUAUAUUGAUUUACUUUGAAAAUGGAUCCGGUGCUCUGAAGAGCAUGGUUUCCAGGGGCGAGCGAAUUUCUUCUUGUGAACCUGGUGAUAAUAUUUAUAUUUCAUGAAGUACUUUUAUUAUUUUGAACUCCACCUUCCCAGAAUAGUUUUGUUCCUUCAGGUCUCAGGUGAGCACGUUAGGGCCCAUGGCCCUCUUGUUUAAAGAUGUUCGAUUUUUUUUUAAUUACUAUCACAAUAAGCAUAGCAUUUUUCUUGUGAAAUGUUAUAGAUUUUGUGCAACUUUUCUGUCACUGAGAAGUUUCUUUUUUAUAACAAAUUAUAUAUCUGUGUCAUCUAGUUUUUGUACAAAAAUGAGUGUCUUUAUUUAUUAUUUAUUCACUGACUUGUUAAAGAAUCUUCUAAUACUCAUGAUAUGUGAUUGGAAACUCUUCACAGAAGCAUUCACUAAAGGAAUAAUUUUCUCAAAAACCAUAACUAUGUUGUAUUCAUCUUAAUUGACCAAGCAAAAAGGGUAUGGAAGGCAUUUUUUGCAUUAUCAAAUGUGGUAAAACAAUGAUUUAAAUUAAUAACAUUAUAAAACAUUUUUAGGAAGUACAGGUUGUUUUAUUUGGAUAAUUACUGUUUAAUGUAUUGUAGUUUAUUAGAUCAACUAGAGAAUUUGUUAUAUUAAUUUUACUUACAUUGACAAAAUCAGAAAUGUUUUGUUUUCACAUGAAUUCAAACAAUAUUUUUUUUUAACAGCAAAAACAAAUAAUUUGUUUUGAAGCCAUAUGCUCCUAGUUUGGUAUGCUACUAUAGAUUUAGAUAGUCAUAUAUAAUAUAUUCAUUCCAAACAUUAGUUGCUACAAAAAUUUAAUUACAUGUUUUGAUUCUCUGGAACCAUGCCAAAAAAAUAGCCACUCCAUAUGAGCUUUCAACAGUACCACACAAUUACUUGUUGCUGAUUUUAAAUAUAUCAGACAGAUGAUUUUCUGAUUAUUUAUGAGUACAUUUGUAAGAUAUGAUAACACUUGAGACAGUAGCAUCUUGAAAAUGUCAUGUAAUGCUUAGCUACAUUGUUACUUUGUUUGUGAGUUAAGAUGAGCGUGCGAUAACCAUUGACUACAUUUGAAAAUUGUUGUGCGCAAAUAUUACUGUAUCGCUUUUUAGCCAAAGUAUGUAGCUUGUAUUAUUUGUCCGGGUACUUUGUCUUUAACUCUUUUUUAUACUGUUUCAAGAAGUUUAUGUACAGCCCCUGAUGCACAUUUUUUUUUUUUUGCCUUUAGUCUGAGAAACAUUUGAAUAAUUAAGUCCCGAGUUGUUUUAGACAAUUUUAAAGACACCCCAUGUUUGUUUCAUGGUUUUAAGUAAAUUUCAAAUAUAAUUGUCUCUGUAAAACCAAAUAAAUUCUUGGAAUACAGUGAAACCAUUAUUAUUUGUGAAGCAUUAAUUUUUGUCUAUUUCAUCAGUGUACUGAUAAACAAAUUUAAGAUCCUAACGUAUAUGGAAAAUCUCUAUUACAAGUUAAAAUUUUAUUUCAUAUGUUUAAUACAAUAUAGGUUUUGUAUUCUUACAUAUGUAUUUGUACAGUGUUUUAUGGAAAUACAGAGACAUUGUUUAAAUUAUUAAGCAUAGUAUAUAACAAAUAAAAAAACUGCAUUUCUGUAAAUAAAGACCUAAUUGUGAUCUAUUGCCAAACACUGUACCUGCCGUAUAUUUAUUUUUAUGUCAAUAGUUUUGGAAUGACACUGCACAGCACAUUUGCUGUAAAUUUUUAGGAAUAAAUGUUCACUACAUAAAGAUAAGGUUGAUCAUACCUUCAUGUUGACAAAUUUACACGUAUUAAUGAUGUUUCAAGUUGGAAUUACAUCUUUAAUCUUUUCCUGGAAAAAGUAAAAAUAUGAUCUGAUGUCUUCUUUAGGAAAGCAGAAGAACAGUUAUGAAAAGGGUUGAAGACAUAAGCACAGACGGUUUUGAUUGUUUAUUGUGACAAGUGUUUGGCUAUGACUGUUUACAAUUCUCAUUACUGAUAAGGGGUAUAUAACCAACAAAUUUGUUGGGAAUAUAUCAGAUUUUUUAUGAAGAAAUAUGUAAUAAAAUAUUAGUAGGAAA
Dreissena polymorpha is the source of this 5477-nucleotide long non-coding RNA. RefSeq lists it as uncharacterized. The record is from RefSeq and is a predicted model, not a curated record. Lineage: Eukaryota; Metazoa; Mollusca; Bivalvia; Myida; Dreissenidae. The transcript is spliced from 2 exons.